UGGGGAAUUUUGGACAAUGGGGGAAACCCUGAUCCAGCCAUCCCGCGUGUGCGAUGAAGGCCUUCGGGUUGUAAAGCACUUUUGGCAGGAAAGAAACGUCGCGGGUUAAUACCCCGCGAAACUGACGGUACCUGCAGAAUAAGCACCGGCUAACUACGUGCCAGCAGCCGCGGUAAUACGUAGGGUGCAAGCGUUAAUCGGAAUUACUGGGCGUAAAGCGUGCGCAGGCGGUUCGGAAAGAAAGAUGUGAAAUCCCAGAGCUUAACUUUGGAACUGCAUUUUUAACUACCGGGCUAGAGUGUGUCAGAGGGAGGUGGAAUUCCGCGUGUAGCAGUGAAAUGCGUAGAUAUGCGGAGGAACACCGAUGGCGAAGGCAGCCUCCUGGGAUAACACUGACGCUCAUGCACGAAAGCGUGGGGAGCAAACAGGAUUAGAUACCCUGGUAGUCCACGCCCUAAACGAUGUCAACUAGCUGUUGGGGCCUUCGGGCCUUGGUAGCGCAGCUAACGCGUGAAGUUGACCGCCUGGGGAGUA
This 534-nucleotide ribosomal RNA is filed under the name uncultured bacterium. Its description in RNAcentral is "partial 16S ribosomal RNA". It matches the Rfam family "Bacterial small subunit ribosomal RNA", at positions 355 to 882 of the family's 1533-position model. The record is from RNAcentral.